AGUUGAAGUGGGGAGAGACCAUCCAUUUCACUGUCCAGUGCCUACCUAGCUCUUUAUUGGCUCCUUCAACUAGAAGUGGACAGGGCCAUACUUUUUUUUUUUUUUUUGGGGGGUUGAGCUUGGGACCUUGUGCUUUGGAGGCGGGCGGUGGAACCACUGGGCUAAAUCCCUGGCCUGAAAGGGCCAUUCUUAUGACAUCAUAGGGGAAACAGAGGCAGAGAGUGUUCACCUGAGUCGUCCUGAAGUCAGAACCGGAGUUGUGAGUUUCUGGCUUUGAGGGAAUGCAUUCCCCCCUCCAACCCGGGCUUGGGGGCUGCAGGAGGAGGGGCAUGGAGAACAAGGGGGGGUGGCUAGAGGGAAGGCAGUAAAUCCCUGCACUCCUGAGAUUGCCUUUGAGAGCGCCUUUGGGCCGGCUCCUCCGAGGCUGGGGAGGCUGCGGGAGGAUGGGUAAGAUUUAAACCAGUCACUGCUCCGAGGUACCGGAGAGGAACAAAAGAGGCUUUAUGGUUGGCGAAACCCUGUGUCCUUGGAGAAAGCUGGUUCCCGUUUUCCUGAGGGGGAGCCCAGAGCUUGAAAUGCCGCGGUUGGCACUUCGAGAAGGAACUGGAAGAUAAAGACGGCACCUGGAGAGAUAGUGGAAACACAGAACAGGACUGGGGAAGCCCUUGGGAAAGCCAGCUGCAGAAACAGACACCCCAAUGCUAUUUCCAUAUAGCUCUAUAUAUACAACAAAAAGAGAAAAUAUGAAUAUUACGUAUCAGUGCAUGCCUUGUCGAGGACGUGGUCCCUUCCCUUUCUGCACCUUGCGAUGUGAACUCUGAUACUUUGUAAUGUCUGGGGCACCAGAAGAGAGAUGCCCGCUGCUGUGUACCUAGAAAAUUUGCAAAGACUGGUGGGGAGUAGCCUCGGCACCUACCAAUUGCCCAGGCAUAGAUGCUGGUGGAAUUAAGAGGUAAAAUUGCAAAAGGCAAGAGAGAACAAACGAGUGAGUGAGGACUUGGGGCCGACUCUUUAGGGGCAUUCUGGGGUACGUCCAUUUUGUGACAUGUCCUAGCCUCUCUCUGUGUCCUCACUGAGAUAGAUUGCUAGAUCCUAUCAUCACGGCCAGAGAAAUGGGGAUUUCCCCCUCCCUUCUCCCAGUCUGGUGUCUCUGGUGCUUCACUUUCAAUUUUUCUGGUGCUAGUGUGUUUUUCCUGGCACUACCACGGUCCUCUGUUGACAGACCUGGAAGACCAGGGGGAUGAGAGAGUUCUCUAUUUUGCUGUUUCACUUUUUUUUUUUUUUUUUAAGGGAUGAUUCGCAAAAGUGCCACUUGAGAGUCUCCUCUCUUUCUCUGUGCAGGGGUGAAAGCCCAGAGGUGCUGGGAAGCAAACCCUGGAGUCUGGGAGGGACGAGGAGAGGGGCUGGCUGGUGAGGAGAUGAAAAGCUGACCUUGAGUGCGGCGGAUGGGCUGCUGUCUCCUCUGCUCCUGCAGAAGUAUCCCGGGAGUCCAGCCCAUGGCCUCCUUCUGCUCCCCAAGGGGAUUUCAGGACUUAGGUUUUAUGGGUUAAAGAGCCAAGAAAUGGCUACUUUCCGUUGGAGGGUGAUUUAUAAGAAAGGGACAUUGGGAGAGGGAGCGGGUCAUUCAGAUACUAUGUACCCACACCUCACUGACUGUCAGAGGGCUGACCCCCUUCCCCAUAAGCUACUAUUUUCAGAAGUUUCUAGAAGGGCUAAAAAGAAGAUGUGUGCUGGACUGAGACUUGGCUGCAAAGGCUCUGUAGGGAGCCACGGCUAUUUUUUGCUUUCGUUUUUAAAAAUUGAAGGAAAGCAGGUAUUAUUUCUCUGGGUGGGCAGAGUGUCACAUGGCAACUGCCAUUUUCAAAGCUGAGACAAGGUGUGGGGCUGCAGGCUCAGAGUCCAUCUACAAGGCUGACUUUGCAAGUCACCAGCUAGUGCCUAGGGACAGGGCCCGCUGGGCUGGGGAGCAGACACCCCUCGUUUAAGAAGCCAGCGGCAGAAGCAGGGGUUGUUACAGUACAGGGGGCUGAAAGGGGAGUGAUCUUUCGCUGAAAACCACCAGGUCCCCAAGUCUGUACAACCUGUCAGGGUUGGGGCAAGCUGAGAGGUGGAUUUCUUUCUUCUGUUUUUCUAAUCCAUGCCUUAUGUUUACCGAAAGAGUCCUUUCAGAAAAAAAGGAAAAAA
Molecule: long non-coding RNA, 2184 nt
Organism: Fukomys damarensis (Damara mole-rat)
Lineage: Eukaryota; Metazoa; Chordata; Mammalia; Rodentia; Bathyergidae
Exons: 2
Source: RefSeq, a predicted model, not a curated record